CGCACGGGUGAGUAACACGUGAGUGACCUGCCUUUUAGACUGGAACAACUUACCGAAAGGUGAGCUAAUGCCGGAUGAGUUAUAUAAGUGCAUGUUUAUAUAGGAAAAGUUGGGGAGACCUGACGCUGAAAGAUGGACUCGCGUCCCAUUAGCUAGUUGGUAGGGUAAUGGCCUACCAAGGCGACGAUGGGUAGCCGGCCUGAGAGGGUGGCCGGCCACAUUGGGACUGAGACACGGCCCAAACUCCUACGGGAGGCAGCAG
RNAcentral lists this ribosomal RNA (262 nucleotides) under uncultured bacterium. RNAcentral's name for it is "partial 16S ribosomal RNA". It matches the Rfam family "Bacterial small subunit ribosomal RNA", at positions 99 to 354 of the family's 1533-position model. The record is from RNAcentral.